AUGGUUUAUCUCUCGUUUUACCAGCGACUUAUGUGCACAGUAGUGUCGAUAAGUAUCGUCAGAGGCACCAUCUUUAAAAAAGUCAAAUUCGAAGGAGGUGACACAGUGAUUGUCCCACUAAUCCCUAUACCGUUUGGACCGCUGAUUGGCCCCUACCAUAAAGUGUUCGCCCUAUCGAGAACAGAACUGCUUCAGCUGAAUCCCUCUCGCGGCAACAUCUGGAAGACUGAGAUUAAGAUAGUGGGUCGAGACUUUUACAAGUUCCCCGAACGCUACCAGCCAGCCGCUGCAAUUAAGCCGGAUCCUACAAGGCAACCAAUCGGCCAAAAAGGCAUCCUUCUGGCUCGAAGAUUAGCGGGACUCCACUUGCCUUAUCACUCGUUUACGUGUAACUGCUACCAUUACACUGAUUACUUGACCUACGGGAGGACCUUCGGCAAGAAGUGGUCCACGUAUCCCCCCGUCAGCGAUGCUUGCCCGCUCCACCGGAGGAUAGAUUCCACUACUAAUGUUAUUUCCAGGAGCUUUCAGUUGGAGGACAAAAAGAAGAAUAAGUAUCAGCUUAAGUCCCUCAGGUUCCAGGAUUUCCUUGCAGUGAAAGAGUUUUGAAGUGAUAUAAAGUCUGUGAUGUACAGUCUGUGAUAUACAAUCUGUGAUAUACAGUCUGUGAUAUACAGGGUGAUCCAAAAGUCCCUUCCACCCCCUCUAACUUUUUACCUAAUUGAGGUAAAGAUUUGAAACUUGGGGGAUGUUCCUAGGUCAAAAGGAGCUACUUUUUGGCCCCCCUAAAAUUUUCAGGGGGCCCCCCUUGGGGGGCAACGGACCCCAACUUUUAAUUUUCAAAUAGGAAGACCCCCUUUGUGAUAGCUCGUUCGAAAGAGCAUAAAAAAAGAAAACUUUUCGCGCAAACCCGAAGUCAAUACCUCAAACCUUUUCAAAAUGGCGGCCGGUUAAAGUUCAAAAUGGCCGAAAACUCACACCGGUUAUUUGUCGAUGGAUUUGCGCGAAAAUCGGUAUGUAUAGGGAUUUUGACACGAGAAAAACGAAUUUGACGUUAGAUUUUCAAAAAAACCGAAAUUUCCGAAAUGGCCGCCGGUUAAAGUUCAUAAUGACCAAAAAUUUAUUUCUUUGGAAAUCUAAGUUCAAAUGUGUUAAUCUUAUGCCAAAAUACUCUCAAAUUUCAAAUUUUAGGCAAAUCCAUCGGCAAAAAACCGAGGUGACAAUUUUCGGCCAUUUUAAACUUUAACCGGCGGCCAUUUCGGAAAUUUCGGUUUUUUUGAAAAUCUAACGUCAAAUUCGUUUUUCUCGUGUCAAAAUCCCCUUACAUACCGAUUUUCGCGCAAAUCCAUCGACAAAUAACCGGUGUGAGUUUUCGGCCAUUUUGAACUUUAACCGGCCGCCAUUUUGAAAAGGUUUGAGGUAUUGACUUCGGGUUUGCGCGAAAAGUUUUCUUUUUUAUGCUCUUUCGAACGAGCUAUCACAAAGGGGGUCUUCCUAUUUGAAAAUUAAAAGUUGGGGUCCGUUGCCCCCCAAGGGGGGCCCCCUGAAAAUUUUAGGGGGGCCAAAAAGUAGCUCCUUUUGACCUAGGAACAUCCCCCAAGUUUCAAAUCUUUACCUCAAUUAGGUAAAAAGUUAGAGGGGGUGGAAGGGACUUGUGGAUCACCCUGUACAGUAUCUGAUAUAUGGAUCAUAUUUUGCAAUAAGGAUCCACUAUCUCUGGCUCUUCCAUAAAAGCACCUUCUUGCAUAGGGAAACCAGUGGCAUAUACUUUGUAUCUAAAAUGAGCCAAAAAUAGUGGCUCCCCAUUGCAAAAAUGUGGUCCAUAUAGUCUCUGCUGUUACAAGUUGUCCUAUCGAUACGGGGAAGAUUCCAUGAAAUAAUACUGACUAUAAAAAUGACUCAUGCUCACUCAUUUACCUCAUCCAUUUAUCUCAUCAAAAGUGCUCCUAGGUAUACAUUGCGUGCUUUUAAUAAACAACAAUCCAUUCAAAUUCCACACCGAUUUCAUAAUCAACGCGGAUUGCUAGCAGCGCCUGGAUUCUUCAGUCUACAUUAAAUAUCGAUAUUAUCGAUAUAACUUCGAUCGAUAAAUUACAUUACUGGGAUCGGGUUUUAUGGAUGGAGAUCUAUCGAUAGAAAUUCAAAAAUCGAUCCGCUGGCGGACGUGACGCGGGUUCGGUUUCGCGUUCAAUCUUUCUCUAUUGUCUGGCUGCUCGGUUCAUUUAGAAUUGGAUCAAUGUUUGAAAGAAGUACUUCGGAGAUUGCAACCUUAGGGCUCAAGAGAGUUAAAGUCUCUCACGGCAUGAUUGAAAACUUCAAAAGAGAAUUUGCAGGUGUCUGAAAUUUUGUGAAUUUCAUCUUCAAAAGGAAACUGCUAAGAGAACUGAGUACGAGGAUGUCCUUGGUUUCUAAAUUGGACAAUUAUUCGAGAAAAUACGAACAAAAUACCCUAAUCUGCUAAAAUACAUGCGUUUAAAUGAAAAACGCCGCCGGAUGACGUCAUAACUCAUAAGGCGGUAAAUUUUCACACUUUUAAAUCCAUUUUUCUCCAAUUUCCCAUGUUAGACACAAAUUUAUGAAAAAUACUGCGAAAUCAGCUCAUUAGGCGCUUUCAGAUGAAGCAAUUAAAUUUUUGCGUGCAAAUUCUUCAUUCUCACUAAAGUAUUCUUAAUAAGAUACAAAAUCCAACUUGCUUUAGAUUUUAUACGAAAAUUAAAACGUAGAAGAAAAUAAAGUUAAAAAAAAAACUUAACGCCCAUUUUGAGCAACGAUAAAGGUUACUGAGGUGAUAUUUGUGAGUAUAUAUAUUAUCGAAUCCGGAUUGUUUUCAUCUCGAGUCUCGAUAUGAUGUGUUAAUUACUUCAAGUUUGAUUAUCUGCGCUGGCCGAGGUGGUCUCCGGCCAGGCGCGCGCUCUGCAUGGAAACAGGAACUUGAGCCAGAAGUACCUCACUAAGUAUGAACCGCGUUCAGAGUAGCCGAAUUUUGAAGUGAAACUGCAUACCUUAAUCGAGCUGUGUGGAGAAAAGAGCUAAUUUCCAGCACGUUCUGGCAACCACGAUCGCGUAGCUCCAAUGGAAACCCUACGUACAUAAGUGGUUUUUCCGCAGCCGACAGAGAAGUAGAUGAGUUAUGGUUCAGCUUCGGCCAGCGAGUCAUUAGGAAACGAGCGCAGCCACGAGCGACAAAGCCAAAUUGCCCUGAAAAUACCCCCAAAUAUCCCGAGGAAAUUUAAGUUUAGAAUAUAUUCGGCAAUAGUGAGGGAAUCAAGAUGUUCGAUUCUUUCGCGCCUCGAACUAUAUCACAAGAUGCAACUAUAUGUUUGACGAACAUUCGUCCGCGAUUCGCCUGAAUUCCUCACCGAUGUUGCCAACUUUAGCGUGUUUGACUGUCCUUAAAAAAAGAAACUUCAGGCGAUUA
RNAcentral lists this long non-coding RNA (3418 nucleotides) under Bemisia tabaci. RNAcentral's name for it is "lncRNA ENSSSA1UGG002406". Lineage: Eukaryota; Metazoa; Arthropoda; Insecta; Hemiptera; Aleyrodidae. The record is from RNAcentral.